ACUAACUAUAAAACUUUGGGCCACUGACACAACAUUCCAUUUGUUUUCUAUCUAUUAUUUAUGAUCAAACUUGUAUGGAUUAUAUUAUAAAAAGGUGGAGCAAGUUUGUUAAUAAAUUUAUUGAUGAAGUAUAUAUUUGUUAUAAUUAAAAGGUGUUGUAUAAUUUUUGGUCAUGGCCUCGAAAUUAUUCAAGAUGGAUCUGUCUGGCAAGUAUAGACUCAAUCUGUCUGGCCAUUAGUCAGUUUGUUUCCUUAAUGAUUUUCUAUGCUAAAACUCUCUGAUUGCUGUGGUUAUACCUUUGUUACUUUGAAUUUUAACUUCGUUAACAAUUGAUCAAUUCAGUUGGAGUUUGUUGGAAAUAGGACGCGGUGUUAGCAGUGGAGGUGGACAGAGUUCAUUGGGCUACUUGUUUGGAAGUGGAGAGGCUCCUAAGCCAGCGGCUAAUAAUCCUCCUGCCAAUACUAGUGCUGCACCGGCUGUAAAAGAUGCACCAAAGCCUGUUGUUAAUUCCCAGCCUGUAGAUUUUAAGAAUGUUCCUGCUGGUGUUAAUAAUAAUAUAAACAACUAUCACCGUGCUGAUGGUCAGAACACUGGCAAUUUCAUCACGGAAACAUAUCUUCAUUGGAAAUUUUUUGUACUCAAUGACGAAGUUGGUGAUAGCUACAAGCAUUUUGGAUGCGCGAUGUUUUGGGUUAUGAAGUAGCUAUAUGUGCACUUGUAUAUUUUUGGACAUUUUUAAAGUGCCUAUCACUUGUAAAUUUUUGCAUAAAAACUUGUGUAUGGUUGGAGAAUUAUGUUGGAAAAUUGGUUAUCCAAUCCGUUACAUGUAUAUGAAUUACGUAUAUUUUUGACACACGAUAAUAUUUGGGACGUGUGAUAUUUUGGGAUACGAAUUAAUAUAUAAUGAUAAUCAGUGAUAUUAGUUUA
Long non-coding RNA from Amaranthus tricolor (Joseph's coat), 927 nucleotides. RefSeq lists it as uncharacterized. NCBI's taxonomy places the organism in Eukaryota, Viridiplantae, Streptophyta, Magnoliopsida, Caryophyllales, Amaranthaceae. The transcript has 2 exons. The record is from RefSeq and is a predicted model, not a curated record.